UACCUACGGGAGGCACCAGUAGGGAAUCUUCCACAAUGGACGAAAGUCUGAUGGAGCAACGCCGCGUGAGUGAAGAAGGGUUUCGGCUCGUAAAGCUCUGUUGGUAGUGAAGAAAGAUAGAGGUAGUAACUGGCCUUUAUUUGACGGUAAUUACUUAGAAAGUCACGGCUAACUACGUGCCAGCAGCCGCGGUAAUACGUAGGUGGCAAGCGUUGUCCGGAUUUACUGGGGGUAAAGGGCGGGGAGGCGGGAAAGGAA
RNAcentral lists this ribosomal RNA (258 nucleotides) under uncultured bacterium. Its description in RNAcentral is "partial 16S ribosomal RNA". It matches the Rfam family "Bacterial small subunit ribosomal RNA", at positions 335 to 586 of the family's 1533-position model. The record is from RNAcentral.